RNAcentral lists this transfer RNA (85 nucleotides) under archaeon. RNAcentral's name for it is "tRNA-Leu". It matches the Rfam family "tRNA". Rfam says of the family: Transfer RNA (tRNA) molecules are approximately 80 nucleotides in length. Their secondary structure includes four short double-helical elements and three loops (D, anti-codon, and T loops). Further hydrogen bonds mediate the characteristic L-shaped molecular structure. tRNAs have two regions of fundamental functional importance: the anti-codon, which is responsible for specific mRNA codon recognition, and the 3' end, to which the tRNAs corresponding amino acid is attached (by aminoacyl-tRNA synthetases). tRNAs cope with the degeneracy of the genetic code in two manners: having more than one tRNA (with a specific anti-codon) for a particular amino acid; and 'wobble' base-pairing, i.e. permitting non-standard base-pairing at the 3rd anti-codon position. The record is from RNAcentral.
GCAGGGGUCGCAUAGUCCGGCAAUUGCGGCGGACUUAAGAUCCGCUGGGUUAGUCCCUUCGUGAGUUCGAAUCUCACCCCCUGCA